CUCGUAGGCGGUUCGUCGCGUCCGGUGUGAAAGUCCAUCGCUUAACGGUGGAUCCGCGCCGGGUACGGGCGGGCUUGAGUGCGGUAGGGGAGACUGGAAUUCCCGGUGUAACGGUGGAAUGUGUAGAUAUCGGGAAGAACACCAAUGGCGAAGGCAGGUCUCUGGGCCGUUACUGACGCUGAGGAACGAAAGCGUGGGGAGCGAACA
RNAcentral lists this ribosomal RNA (207 nucleotides) under uncultured bacterium. RNAcentral describes it as "partial 16S ribosomal RNA". It matches the Rfam family "Bacterial small subunit ribosomal RNA", at positions 568 to 774 of the family's 1533-position model. The record is from RNAcentral.